UUCGGGUGGGUGUUAGCGGUCCGGCUCUGCUGUGUACUGCUAGUGCCUAUCUUUCUGUCGGGGACGGGCUCUUGGGCUUCAUUGUCCGGGACUCGGAGUCGACGUGGUUACUUUGAGUAAAUUAGAGUGUUCAAAGCAAGCGUUCGCUGUGAAUACAUUAGCAUGGAAUAACACGAUAGGACUCUGGCUUAUCUUGUUGGUCUGUAAGACCGGAGUAAUGAUUAAGAGGGACAGUCGGGGGCAUUCGUAUUUCAUUGUCAGAGGUGAAAUUCUUGGAUUUAUGAAAGACGAACUUCUGCGAAAGCAUUUGCCAAGGAUGUUUUCAUUAAUCAAGAACGAAAGUUGGGGGCUCGAAGACGAUUAGAUACCGUCGUAGUCUCAACCAUAAACGAUGCCGACUAGGGAUUGGCAGGUGUUUCGUUGAUGACCCUGCCAGCACCUUAUGAGAAAUC
This 452-nucleotide ribosomal RNA is filed under the name Chlamydomonas sp. RCC5336. Its description in RNAcentral is "SSU rRNA". It matches the Rfam family "Eukaryotic small subunit ribosomal RNA", at positions 640 to 1099 of the family's 1831-position model. The record is from RNAcentral. Lineage: Eukaryota; Viridiplantae; Chlorophyta; Chlorophyceae; Chlamydomonadales; Chlamydomonadaceae.